RNAcentral lists this ribosomal RNA (486 nucleotides) under uncultured bacterium. Its description in RNAcentral is "partial 16S ribosomal RNA". It matches the Rfam family "Bacterial small subunit ribosomal RNA", at positions 30 to 507 of the family's 1533-position model. The record is from RNAcentral.
AUUGAACGCUGGCGGCAUGCCUUACACAUGCAAGUCGAACGGCAGCACGGGUGCUUGCACCUGGUGGCGAGUGGCGAACGGGUGAGUAAUACAUCGGAACAUGUCCUGUAGUGGGGGAUAGCCCGGCGAAAGCCGGAUUAAUACCGCAUACGAUCUACGGAUGAAAGCGGGGGACCUUCGGGCCUCGCGCUAUAGGGUUGGCCGAUGGCUGAUUAGCUAGUUGGUGGGGUAAAGGCCUACCAAGGCGACGAUCAGUAGCUGGUCUGAGAGGUCGACCAGCCACACUGGGACUGAGACACGGCCCAGACUCCUACGGGAGGCAGCAGUGGGGAAUUUUGGACAAUGGGCGAAAGCCUGAUCCAGCAAUGCCGCGUGUGUGAAGAAGGCCUUCGGGUUGUAAAGCACUUUUGUCCGGAAAGAAAUCCUUGGCCCUAAUACGGUCGGGGGAUGACGGUACCGGAAGAAUAAGCACCGGCUAACUACGUG